This 23-nucleotide unclassified non-coding RNA is filed under the name Mus musculus (house mouse). RNAcentral's name for it is "oocyte_clustered_small_RNA12023". The record is from RNAcentral. Lineage: Eukaryota; Metazoa; Chordata; Mammalia; Rodentia; Muridae.
UGAAGCCACUCCUGCUGAGACGA